Molecule: ribosomal RNA, 631 nt
Filed under: uncultured bacterium
Lineage: Bacteria
Description: bacterial SSU rRNA
Rfam family: Bacterial small subunit ribosomal RNA
Source: RNAcentral
CCGGUACUCCGAAUGACCUACGGCUUAAUUUGAUCAUGGCUCAGAGCCAACGCUGGUNAGUAGUGCCUAACACAUGCAAGUCGAACGGCAGCACAGGAGAGCUUGCUCUCUGGGUAGGCGAGUAGGCGGACGGGUAGAGUGAAUACAUACGGAAUCUACUCUAGUCGUGGGGGAUAACGUAGGGAAACUAUACGCUAAUACCGCAUACGACCUACGGGUGAAAGCAGGGUGAUCUUCGGACCUUGCGCGAUUGAAUGAGCCGAUGUCUGGAUUAGCUAGUUGGCGGGGUAAAGGCCCACCAAGGCGACGAUCCGUAGCUAGGUACAGAGAGGAUAGAUACAGCCACACUGGAACUAGAGACACGGUCCAGACUACCUACGGGAGGCAGCAGUGGGGAAUAUUGGACAAUGGGCGCAAGCCUAGAUCCAGCCAUACCGCGUAGGGUAGAAGAAGGCCUUCGGGUUAGUAAAGCCCUUUUGUAUGGGAAAGAAAUCCAGCCGGCUAAUACCUAGGUUGGGAUGACGGUACCCAAAGAAUAAGCACCGGCUAACUUCGUGCCAGCAGCCGCGGGUAAUACCGAAAGGGGUAGCAAGCGUUAACUCGGGAAUUAACGUAGGGGCGUACAAAGGCG